RNAcentral lists this ribosomal RNA (579 nucleotides) under Cortinarius caperatus. RNAcentral's name for it is "eukaryotic LSU rRNA". The stretch from base 257 to 410 matches the Rfam family "5.8S ribosomal RNA". Lineage: Eukaryota; Fungi; Basidiomycota; Agaricomycetes; Agaricales; Cortinariaceae. The record is from RNAcentral.
GGAAGGAUCAUUAUUGAAAUAAACCUGAUGAGUUGCUGCUGGUUCUCUAGGGAGCAUGUGCACACUUGUCGUCUUUAUAUUUCCACCUUGUGCACCUUUUGUAGACCUGGAUAUCUCUCUGAAUGCACACAAGCAUUUGGGUUUGAGGGGUUGACUUUUUGGUCUCCCUUUAUAUUUCCAGGCCUAUGUUUCUUUCAUAUACCCCACUUGUGUUAUAGAAUGUAAUAAAUGGGCCUUUGUGCCUGUAAAGCUAUACAACUUUCAGCAACGGAUCUCUUGGCUCUCGCAUCGAUGAAGAACGCAGCGAAAUGCGAUAAGUAAUGUGAAUUGCAGAAUUCAGUGAAUCAUCGAAUCUUUGAACGCACCUUGCGCUCCUUGGUAUUCCGAGGAGCAUGCCUGUUUGAGUGUCAUUAAUAUAUCAACCUCCUCAACUUGUGUUGAGUGUUGGAUGUGGGGGUUCUUUCUUUGCUGGCUUCACGGUCAGCUCCCCUGAAAUGCAUUAGCGGAACAACCUGUUCACUGUUCAUUGGCGUGAUAACUAUCUACGCUGCUUGUUGACAGUGAAGCAAGUUCAGCUUC